AUCUGGUUUUUUCCUGCCAGUAGUCAUACGCUCGUCUCAAAGAUUAAGCCAUGCAUGUGUAAGUAUAAAUAAUUUUACUUUGAAACUGCGAAUGGCUCAUUAUAUCAGUUAUAGUUUAUUAGAAAUAUUUUACUACUUGGAUAACCGUAGUAAUUCUAGGGCUAAUACAUGAGUAAAACCUCAACUUCGGAAGAGGUGUGUUUAUUAGUAUGAAAACCAUAUAUCUUCGGAUAUAAUAGUGAGUAAUAAUAACCUUUCAUAUCGUAUGUCGUAAGAUAACGAUAGUUCUUUCAAGUUUCUGCCCUAUCAGCUUUCGAUGGUAGUAUAUGGGACUACCAUGGCAGUAACGGGUAACGAAGAAUUUGGGUUCGAUUUCGGAGAGGGAGCCUGAGAGAUGGCUACCACAUCCAAGGAAGGCAGCAGGCGCGUAAAUUACCCAAUCCUGACAUAGGGAGGUAGUGACAAUAAAUCACAAUGCGGAACUUUUAGUUUUGCAAUUGGAUUGAGAACAAUGUACAAAUGUUAUCGAUAAACAAUUGGAGGGCAAGUCUGGUGCCAGCAGCCGCGGUAAUUCCAGCUCCAAUAGCGUAUAUUAACGUUGUUGCAGUAAAAAAAGCUC
Molecule: ribosomal RNA, 619 nt
Filed under: Blastocystis sp.
Lineage: Eukaryota; Bigyra; Opalinata; Blastocystidae
Description: SSU rRNA
Rfam family: Eukaryotic small subunit ribosomal RNA
Source: RNAcentral